CAGUAGCCACGGUAAUACGGAGGGAGCUAGCGUUGUUCGGAAUUACUGGGCGUAAAGCGCGCGUAGGCGGUUACUCAAGUCAGAGGUGAAAGCCCGGGGCUCAACCCCGGAACUGCCUUUGAAACUAGGUGACUAGAAUCUUGGAGAGGUCAGUGGAAUUCCGAGUGUAGAGGUGAAAUUCGUAGAUAUUCGGAAGAACACCAGUGGCGAAGGCGACUGACUGGACAAGUAUUGACGCUGAGGUGCGAAAGCGUGGGGAGCAAACAGGAUUAGAUACCCCUGUAGUCCCUGUCUCUUAUAC
Molecule: ribosomal RNA, 301 nt
Filed under: uncultured bacterium
Lineage: Bacteria
Description: partial 16S ribosomal RNA
Rfam family: Bacterial small subunit ribosomal RNA
Source: RNAcentral